Molecule: long non-coding RNA, 201 nt
Organism: Syngnathus acus (greater pipefish)
Lineage: Eukaryota; Metazoa; Chordata; Actinopteri; Syngnathiformes; Syngnathidae
Exons: 3
Source: RefSeq, a predicted model, not a curated record
GUAAUGAAGGAUAUAAUAUUGACGCAAUAUCACAGCAUACUGCCAAGUUGAAGCGCCCUCAGUGUUGCCCCCCUUGCAUAUGUACCGGUCUGUAGUGAAUUGCGCCGGGAUCACUGCCCAGGGCCUGCCGUCCAUCCAAAAUCUUUGUCCACUUCACCGUCCUCAGAGUCCCUUUCCAGGCCCCGGUCAGUGUCCAGGGGU